GGGGCCGUAGUCUAGCCUGGCUAGGAUGCGUGGCUUGGGCCCACGUGAUCCCGGGUUCAAAUCCCGGCGGCCCCA
This 75-nucleotide transfer RNA is filed under the name Pyrobaculum oguniense TE7. RNAcentral describes it as "tRNA-Pro (TGG) (tRNA-Pro-TGG-1-1)". It matches the Rfam family "tRNA". From Rfam's summary of the family: Transfer RNA (tRNA) molecules are approximately 80 nucleotides in length. Their secondary structure includes four short double-helical elements and three loops (D, anti-codon, and T loops). Further hydrogen bonds mediate the characteristic L-shaped molecular structure. tRNAs have two regions of fundamental functional importance: the anti-codon, which is responsible for specific mRNA codon recognition, and the 3' end, to which the tRNAs corresponding amino acid is attached (by aminoacyl-tRNA synthetases). tRNAs cope with the degeneracy of the genetic code in two manners: having more than one tRNA (with a specific anti-codon) for a particular amino acid; and 'wobble' base-pairing, i.e. permitting non-standard base-pairing at the 3rd anti-codon position. Lineage: Archaea; Thermoproteati; Thermoproteota; Thermoprotei; Thermoproteales; Thermoproteaceae. The record is from RNAcentral.